Molecule: ribosomal RNA, 301 nt
Filed under: uncultured bacterium
Lineage: Bacteria
Description: partial 16S ribosomal RNA
Rfam family: Bacterial small subunit ribosomal RNA
Source: RNAcentral
CAGCCGCCGCGGUAAUACGUAGGUGGCAAGCGUUGUCCGGAAUUAUUGGGCGUAAAGGGCUCGCAGGCGGUUUCUUAAGUCUGAUGUGAAAGCCCCCGGCUCAACCGGGGAGGGUCAUUGGAAACUGGUCGACUUGAGUGCAGAAGAGGAGAGUGGAAUUCCAUGUGUAGCGGUGAAAUGCGUAGAUAUAUGGAGGAACACCAGUGGCGAAGGCGACUCUCUGGUCUGUAACUGACGCUGAGGCUCGAAAGCGUGGGUAGCAAACAGGAUUAGAGACCCGAGUAGUCCCUGUCUCUUAUAA